Molecule: small nuclear RNA, 106 nt
Organism: Jaculus jaculus (lesser Egyptian jerboa)
Lineage: Eukaryota; Metazoa; Chordata; Mammalia; Rodentia; Dipodidae
Source: Ensembl
ACUGCUGGCUUUGGCAGCACAUACUAAAAUUGGAACAAUACAGAGAAGAUUAACAUGACCCCUGCACAAGGAUGAUGUGCAAAUUCAUGAGGUGUUCAGUAUUUUU